AACGAACGCUGGCGGCAUGCCUAACACAUGCAAGUCGAACGAAGUCUUCGGACUUAGUGGCGCACGGGUGCGUAACGCGUGGGAAUCUGCCCUUGGGUGCGGAAUAACUUCUCGAAAGGGAUGCUAAUACCGCAUAAUGUCGUAAGACCAAAGAUUUAUCGCCCAAGGAUGAGCCCGCGUAAGAUUAGCUAGUUGGUGGGGUAAAAGCCUACCAAGGCGACGAUCUUUAGCUGGUCUGAGAGGAUGAUCAGCCACACUGGGACUGAGACACGGCCCAGACUCCUACGGGAGGCAGCAGUGGGGAAUAUUGGACAAUGGGCGAAAGCCUGAUCCAGCAAUGCCGCGUGAGUGAUGAAGGCCCUAGGGUUGUAAAGCACUUUCAGUGGGGAGGAAAAGUUGCCGGCGAAUACCCGGCGACCGUGACGCUACCUGCAGAAGAAGCACCGGCAAACUCCGUGCCAGCAGCCGCGGUAAU
Molecule: ribosomal RNA, 475 nt
Filed under: uncultured bacterium
Lineage: Bacteria
Description: bacterial SSU rRNA
Rfam family: Bacterial small subunit ribosomal RNA
Source: RNAcentral